RNAcentral lists this ribosomal RNA (432 nucleotides) under uncultured bacterium. RNAcentral's name for it is "partial 16S ribosomal RNA". It matches the Rfam family "Bacterial small subunit ribosomal RNA", at positions 29 to 506 of the family's 1533-position model. The record is from RNAcentral.
AACGAACGCUGGCGGCAUGCCUAACACAUGCCAGUCGAACGAGACCUUCGGGUCUAGUGGCGCACGGGUGCGUAACGCGUGGGAACCUGCCCUUAGGUUCGGAAUAACUCCCCGAAAGGGGUGCUAAUACCGGAUAAUGUCUUCGGACCAAAGAUUUAUCGCCUUUGGAUGGGCCCGCGUUGGAUUAGCUAGUUGGUAGGGUAAAAGCCUACCAAGGCGACGAUCCAUAGCUGGUCUGAGAGGAUGAUCAGCCACACUGGGACUGAGACACGGCCCAGACUCCUACGGGAGGCAGCAGUGGGGAAUAUGGGGCAAUGGGCGAAAGCCUGAUCCAGCAAUGCCGCGGGAGUGAUGAAGGCCUUAGGGUUGUAAAGCUCUUUUACCCGGGAUGAUAAUGACAGUACCGGGAGAAUAAGCUCCGGCUAACUCCGG